Long non-coding RNA from Aedes aegypti (yellow fever mosquito), 879 nucleotides. RefSeq lists it as uncharacterized. The transcript is spliced from 2 exons. The record is from RefSeq and is a predicted model, not a curated record. NCBI's taxonomy places the organism in Eukaryota, Metazoa, Arthropoda, Insecta, Diptera, Culicidae.
GCCGAAGUGAAUCAAAAGUGCCAAGAAUUGGAUCCAGUUCCCUACCAAGUGAUGCUUCACUAAUCUUUAUAUUUUUUGAGGAUUCUUACUUUAGCUGCUGGAUUCAAAUCUCAAGUUAAUCAAUAAAGUCAGCGGUAGUAUUUUUAAACAUAUUCUUUAUAUAAAUGUUGCCACUUGCUCUAAUCCAGUCAAUAAUUAUCCAGUUAAUCAAAAACUUGAAAUGAAGAAACAUCUUGCGAAAAGUAUGUUUUAUUUAUAAAGUUUAUAAACUACAAUUUUUGGGUGUUAUCAAUUACAUUGCUCUAAGCAAGCUUGCAAUUCGCUGAAGUUAAAUAAAUUGCUGUUGAGUACACCCUAAUGUACAUGCGCGCCUCUCUAUCCAAUCCGGUAUCUUUAGGUCGUACAUACACCAUUGUACGCUGGUAGCGUAUGAUACCUUCUUCCAUGAAGGCGUUUAUAGAAGGUGACGAAUGGACAGUAUUGUGCAAUAGAAAGUGUUGAAAUCACGUGCUGAAUUACAAUUCCUAAUUUACUACUCUAUUUGCAAGUAUUUAAACCUAAACUACUAUGAAAUUUUGCUACUUAUCUAAAUUCGCUUAAGGUAAUAGUUCUUAUAUAUGAAUUAAUGUGAAGUUAUACUAAAUUAUUGAAAUGCUAUAUACAGUGUCGCCUUAAACCUACAUAGUGCAUUACCAUAACCCUACAUCUAUUCGGAUUAAAAGCCUACAUGCAAAGGCUGAUCGAAAAAUAAGAACUCGCAUAAUCAGGAACAUUGAUCGCCGGCAGGUAUCGCACAACGGGACUAAACGUAAGUCAAAACGGACAAACAUAUAUUUCUCAAAGCACUAAAUGAACAUUAAAUAAUUAGAAUUGCAACAU